AGAUAGCUGGUUCUCCUCGAAAUAGCUUUAGGGCUAGCCUCAUGGAUCAUUGAUGGGGGUAGAGCACUGAAUGUGCGCGGGGGCCACAAAGCCUACCAAACGCUAUCAAACUUCGAAUACCAUACAAUGCAGACCAUGGGAGUCAGUCCGCGAGAGAUAAGUUCCGCGGGCAAAAGGGGAACACCCCAGAUCAACCGCUAAGGUCCCCAAGUUCACGUUAAGUGGAGAAGGAUGUGGAAUUGCACAGACAACCAGGAUGUUGGCUCAGAAGCAGCCACACAUUUAAAGAGUGCGUAAUAGCUCACUGGUCGAGUGAUUGUGCGCCGAAGAUGUCCGGGGCUAAACGUGACACCGAAGCGAUGGGUGCAUCUGAAAGGAUGCGCGGUAGAGGAGCAAUGUGCAGAGGCAGAAGCCGUAUCGAGAGGCACGGUGGACACUGCACAAGAGAGAAUGCCGGUAUGAGUAGCGAGAGGCAUGCGAGAAACAUGCCCGUCGAAAGCCCAAGGUUUCCUGGGGAAGGUUCAUCCGCCCAGGGUAAGUCGGGGCCUAAGCCGAGGACGGAAGUCGUAGGCGAUGGACAGCAGGUGUAGAUUCCUGCACUACCGAUGGAAUGAAGCAGUGACACAGAAGGAUAACUCGAGCAGGGUGAUGGUCAACCCUGUGCAAGCAUCAAGGUUGGGUUGUAGUGAAGUACGCAACCCUAUAAGCUGAGGUGUGAUGCGGACCGAAAUUUCAGUAGGGAAGCGAGUGAGUUCACGCUGGCGAGAAAAGCUGCUAGUACAUCCAAAGGUACCCGUACCGGAAACCGACGCAGGUGGGCGAGGAGAGAAUCCUGAGACGAACGGGAGAACCCUUGUUAAGGAACUCGGCAAAAUGACCCCGUAACUUCGGGAUAAGGGGUGCCUGCGAGAGCAGGCCGCAGAGAAUAGUCACAAGCGACUGUUUAGCAAAAACACAGGUAUCUGCGAAAGCGAGAGCUGACGUAUAGGUGCUGACACCUGCCCGGUGCUGGAAGGUUAAGGGAACAUGUUAGAGCAAUCGAAGCAUCGAACCGAAGCCCCAGUAAACGGCGGCCGUAACUAUAACGGUCCUAAGGUAGCGAAAUUCCUUGUCGGGUAAGUUCCGACCCGCACGAAUGGUGUAACGACUUGUGAGCUGUCUCAACAGGGGGCCCGGUGAAAUUGAAGUAUGGGUGAAGAUGCCCAUUACCCGCGACUGGACGGAAAGACCCCGUAGAGCUUUACUGCAGCCUGAUAUUGAGUUUCGGUAACUGAUGCACAGGAUAGGUGGGAGUCUGAGAGACACGGGUUUCGGCUCGUGUGGAGACGAUGUUGGGAUACCACUCUUCGGUUACUGAAAUUCUAACAUAGCUCUGUGAAACCAGAGGAUGGACAGUGUCAGGUGGACAGUUUGACUGGGGCGGUCGCCUCCGAAAGAGUAACGGAGGCGCCCAAAGGUACCCUCAGAAUGGAUGGAAACCAUUCGAAGAGCGCAAAGGCAGAAGGGUGCCUGACUGCGAGAUUGACAAAUCGAGCAGAGACGAAAGUCGGGCUUAGUGAUCCGGCGGUAUUGAGUGGAAAAGCCGUCGCUUAACGGAUAAAAGCUACCUCGGGGAUAACAGGCUGAUCUCCCCCAAGAGUCCACA
This 1645-nucleotide ribosomal RNA is filed under the name human gut metagenome. Its description in RNAcentral is "bacterial LSU rRNA". It matches the Rfam family "Bacterial large subunit ribosomal RNA", at positions 843 to 2504 of the family's 2925-position model. The record is from RNAcentral.